Molecule: ribosomal RNA, 492 nt
Filed under: uncultured bacterium
Lineage: Bacteria
Description: partial 16S ribosomal RNA
Rfam family: Bacterial small subunit ribosomal RNA
Source: RNAcentral
AGUGAACGCUGGCGGUAGGCCUAACACAUGCAAGUCGAACGGCAGCACAGUAAGAGCUUGCUCUUACGGGUGGCGAGUGGCGGACGGGUGAGGAAUACAUCGGAAUCUACUUUUUCGUGGGGGAUAACGUAGGGAAACUUACGCUAAUACCGCAUACGACCUACGGGUGAAAGCUGGGGAUCUUCGGACCUUGCGCGAUUGAAUGAGCCGAUGUCGGAUUAGCUAGUUGGCGGGGUAAAGGCCCACCAAGGCGACGAUCCGUAGCUGGUCUGAGAGGAUGAUCAGCCACACUGGAACUGAGACACGGUCCAGACUCCUACGGGAGGCAGCAGUGGGGAAUAUUGGACAAUGGGCGCAAGCCUGAUCCAGCCAUACCGCGUGGGUGAAGAAGGCCUUCGGGUUGUAAAGCCCUUUUGUUGGGAAAGAAAGGCAGCAGGUUAAUACCCCGCUGUUCUGACGGUACCCAAAGAAUAAGCACCGGCUAACUUCGUG